RNAcentral lists this transfer RNA (63 nucleotides) under Tomocerus qinae. Its description in RNAcentral is "tRNA-Ala". Lineage: Eukaryota; Metazoa; Arthropoda; Collembola; Entomobryomorpha; Tomoceridae. The record is from RNAcentral.
AGGAUUAUAGUUAAUCAUAACAUCUGGGUUGCAUUCAGAAAGUACUAUUGUUAGUUUAUCUUU